CCUACGGGUGGCUGCAGUGGGGAAUAUUGGACAAUGGGGGCAACCCUGAUCCAGCCAUGCCGCGUGUGUGAAGAAGGCCCUCGGGUUGUAAAGCACUUUCAGUGAGGAAGAACGCCUGGUGGUUAAUACCCAUCAGGAAAGACAUCACUCACAGAAGAAGCACCGGCUAACUCCGUGCCAGCAGCCGCGGUAAUACGGAGGGUGCGAGCGUUAAUCGGAAUUACUGGGCGUAAAGCGCGCGUAGGUGGCUUGAUAAGCCGGUUGUGAAAGCCCCGGGCUCAACCUGGGAACGGCAUCCGGAACUGUCAAGCUAGAGUGCAGGAGAGGAAGGUAGAAUUCCCGGUGUAGCGGGGAAAUGCGUAGAGAUCGGGAGGAAUACCAGUGGCGAAGGCGGCCUUCUGGACUGACACUGACACUGAGGUGCGAAAGCGUGGGUAGCAAACAGGAUUAGAUACCCCAGUAGUC
Molecule: ribosomal RNA, 465 nt
Filed under: Vreelandella stevensii
Lineage: Bacteria; Pseudomonadati; Pseudomonadota; Gammaproteobacteria; Oceanospirillales; Halomonadaceae
Description: partial 16S ribosomal RNA
Rfam family: Bacterial small subunit ribosomal RNA
Source: RNAcentral